Molecule: non-coding RNA, 27 nt
Filed under: Homo sapiens (human)
Lineage: Eukaryota; Metazoa; Chordata; Mammalia; Primates; Hominidae
Source: RNAcentral
UGCCAGUGCAAAGUGGGUGUCAUUGGC